GCUGCUGCAGUCGCUCAACAUGGACAUACAGCAACUAAAGCACUGGUGAAAUCCUCUGAUCCAGCAGCGCUACAGUCCGAGGUGCUCAUUCACUCUUCCUCCGCCUGAUAAGGCUUCCUGAAAAACACACAGCGAGCAAUCAGGCGACAACAAUGGGCUCCGUCAGACGCUUUAAACUUCAGGUAGUCGGCGGUGCACAGCAGCACAGCUUUGUUUUCAUCCGCAGUGAGCAUCAUAAAAGCUUUGACUUUUUGUUUUCAUGCUGUUUGUUUCAACUGCACUGCAGAGUGUAUGGUCUGUUCCAUGAUGGCUAUAAAGUAGAGCUUCUGGUUAAACCAUUCAUGUUUAAGCUGAAUAAGGAAUUGUUAGUCAUUUUUAGCAUGUAUUA
Molecule: long non-coding RNA, 388 nt
Organism: Sander lucioperca (pikeperch)
Lineage: Eukaryota; Metazoa; Chordata; Actinopteri; Perciformes; Percidae
Exons: 3
Source: RefSeq, a predicted model, not a curated record